CUCGUAGGCGGCCAACUCAGUCGGAUGUGAAAUCCCCAGGCUUAACCUGGGAACUGCAUCCGAUACUGGUUGGCUUGAAAUCGGGAGAGGGAUGCAGAAUUCCAGGUGUAGCGGUGAAAUGCGUAGAUAUCUGGAGGAAUACCGGUGGCGAAGGCGGCAUCCUGGACCGACAUUGACGCUGAGGAGCGAAAGCUAGGGGAGCAAACG
Molecule: ribosomal RNA, 207 nt
Filed under: uncultured bacterium
Lineage: Bacteria
Description: partial 16S ribosomal RNA
Rfam family: Bacterial small subunit ribosomal RNA
Source: RNAcentral